GCAAUCAAAUCAGUACUAAAGCACUGGAUCCCGUUAGAACUCCGCAGUUAAGCGUGCUUGGGCGAGAGUAGUACUAGGAUGGGUGACCCCCUUGGAAGUCCACGUAUUGCACCCC
Molecule: non-coding RNA, 115 nt
Organism: Rhododendron simsii
Lineage: Eukaryota; Viridiplantae; Streptophyta; Magnoliopsida; Ericales; Ericaceae
Source: the annotation of a GenBank genome assembly